Molecule: ribosomal RNA, 497 nt
Filed under: uncultured bacterium
Lineage: Bacteria
Description: partial 16S ribosomal RNA
Rfam family: Bacterial small subunit ribosomal RNA
Source: RNAcentral
GACGAACGCUGGCGGCGUGCCUAAUACAUGCAAGUAGAACGCUGAAGAGAGGAGCUUGCUCUUCUUGGAUGAGUUGCGAACGGGUGAGUAACGCGUAGGUAACCUGCCUUGUAGCGGGGGAUAACUAUUGGAAACGAUAGCUAAUACCGCAUAACAAUGGAUGACACAUGUCACUUAUUUGAAAGGGGCAAUUGCUCCACUACAAGAUGGACCUGCGUUGUAUUAGCUAGUAGGUGAGGUAAUGGCUCAACUAGGCGACGAUACAUAGCCGACCUGAGAGGGUGCUCGGCCACCCCGGGACUGGGACAAGGCCCAGACUCCUACGGGAGGCAGCAGUAGGGGAUCUUCGGCAAUGGGGGCAACGCUGACCGGGCAACGCCGCGGGAGUGAAGGAGGUUUUCGGGUCGUAAAGCUCUGUUGUAAGUCAAGAACGGGUGUGAGAGUGGAAAGUUCACACUGUGACGGUAGCUUACCAGAAAGGGACGGCUAACUACGUG